CGCGACGGAGACGAUGCCUGAGAUCAGAGUCACGCCCUUGGGGGCCGGCCAGGACGUGGGCCGAAGCUGCAUCCUGGUCUCCAUUGCGGGCAAGAAUGUCAUGCUGGACUGUGGAAUGCACAUGGGCUUCAAUGACGACGUGAGUCCCUCGGGCAGGAGGCCCAGAGGCUGGGAGAGCCGGCCAUCCACAGCUGGACCCUGGGCCUCAGAGCCGGGACAGUGGGGCAGUGGGCAGCAGUGGUUGUGCUUGGACGGCUGCACCCUGUGGGGAGCAGGGAUGGGUGGGCCUGGCCGAGGCGAGCCCCUGCAUGGGAGGGUCCCCCUGUGCUGGCGCUGGGCCCCAGUCCCGGGGUCCUGUAGGCUGGGCUCAGUGAGACCUUGGGCUCAGCUUCCAGCUCACAUCUGUCAGUGAGGUUGGGGGUAACCUCGGCCCCUCCGGAUGCUGUGAGCAGUCAGGGGUCCUGGUGCCAUCUGUGGGGUGGGAGUGCCCAGCAUGAGUCUGCACAUAGAACCCCCCUUCCUGGGGGCCCCUCCCUGGGGCAUGGGUGGCCCCAGAUGCUGCCUGGAGACCACUGCGCAACCUGAAACCCCCACGUCCUUCCCAGCGACGCUUCCCUGACUUCUCCUACAUCACCCAGAAUGGCCGCCUGACAGACUUCCUGGACUGCGUGAUCAUUAGGCCAUCUGCCCCAUCUUGCUGGAGGACUACCGCAAGAUCGCCGUGGACAAGAAGGGCGAGGCCAACUUCUUCACCUCCCAGAUGAUCAAAGACUGCAUGAAGAAGGUGGUGGCUGUCCACCUCCACCAGACGGUCCAGGUAGACGAUGAGCUGGAGAUCAAGGCCUACUAUGCAGGCCAUGUGCUGGGGGCAGCCAUGUUCCAGAUUAAAGUGGGCUCAGAGUCUGUGGUCUACACGGGUGAUUAUAACAUGACCCCAGACCGACACUUGGGAGCUGCCUGGAUUGACAAGUGCCGCCCCAACCUGCUCAUCACAGAGUCCACGUAUGCCACGACCAUCCGUGACUCCAAGCGCUGCCGGGAGCGAGACUUCCUGAAGAAAGUCCACGAGACCGUGGAGCGUGGUGGGAAGGUGCUGAUACCCGUGUUCGCGCUGGGCCGCGCCCAGGAGCUCUGCAUCCUCCUGGAGACCUUCUGGGAGCGCAUGAACCUGAAGGUGCCCAUCUACUUCUCCACGGGGCUGACUGAGAAGGCCAACCACUACUACAAGCUGUUCAUCCCCUGGACCAACCAGAAGAUCCGCAAGACUUUCGUGCAGAGGAACAUGUUUGAGUUCAAGCACAUCAAGGCCUUCGACCGGGCUUUUGCCGACAACCCAGGACCGAUGGUUGUGUUUGCCACGCCAGGAAUGCUGCACGCUGGGCAGUCCCUGCAGAUCUUCCGGAAAUGGGCCGGAAAUGAAAAGAACAUGGUCAUCAUGCCCGGCUACUGCGUGCAGGGCACCGUCGGCCACAAGAUCCUCAGCGGUCAGCGGAAGCUCGAGAUGGAGGGGCGGCAGGUGCUGGAGGUCAAGAUGCAGGUGGAGUACAUGUCAUUCAGUGCACACGCAGACGCCAAGGGCAUCAUGCAGCUGGUGGGCCAGGCAGAGCCGGAGAGCGUGCUGUUGGUGCAUGGCGAGGCCAAGAAGAUGGAGUUCCUGAAGCAGAAGAUCGAGCAGGAGCUCCGGGUCAGCUGCUACAUGCCGGCCAAUGGUGAGACGGUGACGCUGCCCACAAGCCCCAGCAUCCCCGUAGGCAUCUCGCUGGGGCUGCUGAAGCGGGAGAUGGCGCAGGGGCUGCUCCCUGAGGCCAAGAAGCCUCGGCUCCUGCACGGCACCCUGAUCAUGAAGGACAGUGUGAGUGCCAGGACGGCCUCUGGAGGGGGGAGGGCUGCUGCUGCGCUCCCUGACCUGUCCCUGCCCCACAGAACUUCCGGCUGGUGUCCUCAGAGCAAGCCCUCAAAGAGCUGGGUCUGGCUGAGCACCAGCUGCGCUUCACCUGCCGCGUGCACCUGCAUGACACGCGCAAGGAGCAGGAGACGGCGUUGCGCGUCUAUAGCCACCUCAAGAGGUGGGCACCCGGCCCCACCCCCCCCACUCCCUUGGGCCCUGGGGGCCAGGCAGGGUCUCACUGAGCCUCCCCACAGCAUCCUGAAGGACCACUGUGUGCAGCACCUCCCAGACGGCUCUGUGACUGUGGAGUCCAUCCUCAUCCAGGCCGCCGCCCCUUCUGAGGACCCAGGCACCAAGGUGCUGCUGGUCUCCUGGACCUACCAGGAUGAGGAGCUGGGGAGCUUCCUCACAUCUCUGUUGAAGAAGGGCCUCCCCCAGGCCCCCAGCUGAGGCCGGCAGCUCACCCAGCCACCACCUCUGCCCUCUCCCAGCUGGACAGACCGGGGCCUGCACUUCAGGACUGUGGGUGCCCUGGGUGAACAGACCCCACAGGUCCCAUCCCUGGGGACAGAGGCCUUGUGUCACGCGCCUGCCCAGGCAGCUGUUUCCAGCUAAAGAAAUAAACUGGCCUCCGGGCUGUCUUGCCUUUAUUCCUGCUUCUGGGCCCCCAAAUGGUUAGGGCAGGUGAUCCCAGACAGCGGUUUCCAGUAAAAACUGAACAAAAGA
RNAcentral lists this small RNA (2614 nucleotides) under Pongo abelii (Sumatran orangutan). RNAcentral describes it as "retained intron". The record is from RNAcentral. Lineage: Eukaryota; Metazoa; Chordata; Mammalia; Primates; Hominidae.